RNAcentral lists this small RNA (2793 nucleotides) under Pan troglodytes (chimpanzee). RNAcentral's name for it is "retained intron". The record is from RNAcentral. Lineage: Eukaryota; Metazoa; Chordata; Mammalia; Primates; Hominidae.
GAUGGCGCAGGAGGUAGACACCGCACAGGGCGCCGAGAUGCGGCGGGGCGCGGGCGCGGCUCGGGGACGCGCUUCCUGGUGCUGGGCCCUGGCGCUGCUUUGGCUCGCGGCGGUUCAGGGCUGGUCCCGGGCCUCGGGCAUCCCCUCCCGGCGCCACUGGCCGGUGCCCUACAAGCGCUUUGACUUCCGUCCAAAACCUGAUCCUUAUUGUCAAGCUAAGUAUACUUUCUGUCCAACUGGCUCACCUAUCCCAGUUAUGGAGGGUGAUGAUGACAUUGAAGUUUUUCGAUUACAAGCCCCAGUAUGGGAAUUUAAAUAUGGAGACCUCCUGGAACACUUGAAAAUUAUGCAUGAUGCCAUUGGAUUCAGAAGUACAUUAACUGGCAAGAACUACACAAUGGAAUGGUAUGAACUUUUCCAACUUGGCAACUGUACAUUUCCCCAUCUCCGACCUGAAAUGGAUGCCCCUUUCUGGUGUAAUCAAGGCGCUGCCUGCUUUUUUGAGGGAAUCGAUGAUGUUCACUGGAAGGAAAAUGGGACAUUAGUUCAAGUAGCAACUAUAUCAGGGUUUCACCAUGUUGGCCAGGAUAGUAUCGAACUCCUGACCUCAAGUGAUCCACCCAUCUUGGCCUCCCAAAGUGCUGGGAUUACAGAUGUGAGCCACUGCACCCGGCCUACUAUAAGAAUUCUACCCCAAAGAGGCACCUUAUAUUACCUGGUAAGUUACCCAUUCAAUCCAUUUCUUCUUUAUGUUUAGAAACAGGGAUAGGAACAAGAAAACAUACACCGUAUUUUCAUCUAUUUAUUGUUACAAGUAUGAUGUGCCAGGUACUAGAUGUUAUCCCACAAAUAAUUUUAAAAAUCUGGAAAAGUAUUAUUUCUACUUUGAAGUGGAGACAGCUAGCUAAAAAUAGCAAAGCUGCAAUACAAACACAGGCUAAGUGACUCUUAUGUCCAUGCACUUAACUACUGCUUCAGAAAUGACAAGACAGAGGCCACCAAUAAGCCAUAGCUUUAUAACAGUGGGAAAAGAUAGGCAUUAGAAUUAUCCGAAGAGAUAAACUGAAUUACCAGAAUGAGUCACCAGAAAAGAGAGUAAUGUCUCAGUAUUCAGCAACCACAAAGUUUCUGUUUUCCACAAAGUAGGUAUAUACUUUAUUUUUGUUUUGAGAUGGAGUCUCGCUCUGCCACCCAGGAUGGAGUACAGGGGUGCGAUCUUGGCUCACUGCAACCUCCGCCUCCCUGGUUUAAGCAAUUCUCCUGCCUCGGCCUUCCAAGUAGCUGGGGUUACAGGCACACGCCACCACGCUCGGCUAUUUUAUAUACUUUGAAAUAUACUCUAAUUACUCAAGGUAACCUAAGCACAUCUCCGUUCCGAUACCAUCUCACGCCAGUUAGAAUGGCAAUCAUUAAAAAGUCAGCAAACAACAGAUGCUGGAGAGGAUAUGGAGAAAUAGGAACGUUCCUGUUAGUGGUAGUGUAAAUUAGUUCAACCAUUGUGGAAGACAGUGUGGCAAUUCCUUAAGGAUCUAGAACUAGAAAUACCAUUUGACCCAGCAAUACCAUUACUGGGUAUAUACCCAAAGGAUUAUAAAUCAUUCUACUAUAAAGACACAUGCCCAUGUAUGUUUACUGUGGCACUGUUCACAAUAGCAAAGACUUGGAACCAACCCAAAUGCCCAUCAAUGAUAGACUAAAUAAAGAAAACAUGGCACAUAUGCACCAUGGAAUACUAUGGAGCCAUAAAAAGGGAUGAGUUCAUGUCCUUUGCAGGGACAUGGAUGAAGCUGGAAACCAUCAUUCUCAGCAAACUAACACAAGAACAGAAAACCAAACACCACAUGUUCUCACUCAUAAGCGAGAGUUGAACAAUGAGAACACAUGGUCACCGGGAGGGGAACCUCACACACUGGUGCCUGUCGGGAGUUGGGGGGCUAGGGGAGGAAUAGCAUUAGGAGAAAUACCUAAGGUAGAUGACAGGCUGAUGGGUGCAGCAAACCACCGUGGCACAUGUAUAUCUAUGUAACAAACCUGCAUGUUCUGCAAAUGUACUCCAGAACUUAAAGUAUAAUAAUAAUUAAAAAAAAAAAACACACAGACAUGGGAAAUGGUAACCAACAAUUCAAAUGAAAGAAACUUUGCAGUAUCAUUUAAUAACUACAAAAGCAGUUGUGGCAGGCGUAAUUCUCAAAAUGGCCUCCAAGAUCCCACACCCUAAUGCCUAGCAUCUGUGAAUUCCAUAAGAUAUCAUGCCCAUGAUUAUGAUAUAUCGUACAGCUGAGCAUAUAAAAGAGAUUAUCUGGAUGGUCCUAGUCUAAUCAUAUGAGCCCCUUUUAAAGCAGUUUCCUCUGGCUGAUUGCAGAAGAGGAAGUCAGAGAGAUUCAAAAUGCAAAGGGGACUCAAUGUGUUAUUGCUGGCUCUAAGCUAGAGGGGGCCAAAAAAGAAAAAUCACAACCAGCCUCUAAGAGCAGAAAGACCCCCUAACAGCCUCCUGCUGACAGCCAAUAAGGAAACUGGAUGUCAGUCCAACAAUCACAAGGAACUAAAUUCAGCCAAUAACUUGAAUGAGCGUGGAAGUGGAUUCUUCUGCAGAGCCUCCAGGUAAGAGCCCAGCCUUCCUGACAUUUUCCUCUCAGCCUUUUAAGAUUUUAAGCAGAGAAGCCACUUGAGCCCUAACUACAGCUCUAAUGUACGGAACAGUGGAGCAAAUAAAUGGGUGUUGGUUUAAGCUGCUUUGUGUAUAGCUGUCAGUUAUGUACCAGUAAGAACAUAGUUCCAAGUAUUUAAAAACAU